Molecule: non-coding RNA, 209 nt
Organism: Oryza barthii
Lineage: Eukaryota; Viridiplantae; Streptophyta; Magnoliopsida; Poales; Poaceae
Source: Rfam
AAUAAAUGCAGUUUUGCACUAUUCAUGUUCAACGUUUGACCGUCCGUCUUAUUUGAAAAUUUUUUAUGAUUAGUAUUUUUAUUGCUAUUAGAUGAUAAAACAUGAAUAGUACUUUAUGUGUAACUAAAUGUUUUUAAUUUUUUCACAAAUUUUUCAAAUAAGAUGGACGGUCAAACGUUGAACGUGAAUAGUGCAAAACUGCACUUAUU